This 1461-nucleotide ribosomal RNA is filed under the name Triticum aestivum (bread wheat). Its description in RNAcentral is "partial small subunit ribosomal RNA". Lineage: Eukaryota; Viridiplantae; Streptophyta; Magnoliopsida; Poales; Poaceae. The record is from RNAcentral.
AUGACCCCGAUGGCGCCGAGGAAACGCGCGAGAUACUGCUGCGGCCUCUGCGGCCUCCCAAAGAAGGGCCAUGUCUGCCGCUUCGCCGGCGGACCGUCUUCGGCGCGGCAGGUGCAGGGCCGAGAAGAAGCGGCGCCGCCCAUGGACCCUCCUUCUGCUGGCGCCAAGAAGGAGGAGGUCACCAUCAUCACCGCCCUCCCCAACGACGUCCUGGGCACCAUCAUCUCCGCGCUCCCCAUCGAUGAGGGCGCCCGCACACACGCCAUCUCCAAAGGCUGGAAACACCUCUGGCGCGACUACACUCCGCUCAACCUCGACGACCGUGACCUCCACAAAAUGGCCUGGACCGGAGACAACCUAGUCGACCUUAUCUCAGACAUCCUCGAGGCUCCACGUGAGGUACGCGCCCGUCGUGUUUCUAUCAGCACACUAUGCCGUCACUCCGGCGACCGAGACCGCUACCCCAUCUUCGACCGAUGGUUCCGAUCCAAGGUUCUGGAUCGCCUCGAGGAUUUUCAUUUCAGCUACCAGCGGGUGAACAACACCGAACCACUUCAGGCUGGCGAGACGAUGCCGCCGCUGCCGCCAUCCGCGCUGAGCUUUUCCUCCCUCCGGGUCGCCAGCUUUGGGUGCUGCCAUUUCCCUGAGAAUAUCUUAGCCUCGGGCGGCAUCACUUUCCCACAUCUCGUCGAGCUCACUCUCUCCCGGAUCACAAACUCCGAGAACACACUGCACGCCAUGAUCGCCGCAUCUCCUAUUCUUGUCAACUUGUACCUUCACAGAAACUAUCACUUCCGCCGCGUCCACAUCAGCUCGCAAACUAUUGUAAGGUUCCGCAUGUUCGUUGACCCAGAUGGUGAUGUGAUGGAAGAACUCCUCAUUGUCAACACUCCAAGCCUAGAGGAAGUGAUGCUCUGGGACCAAGGUUAUUGUGGUCCACGAAUUAUACGUGUCCUGGUUGCCCCAAAACUUCACAUCUUGGGUUGUCUGCACAGCGACAUGAUGUCCACCGUACAGCAUGGGAAGACAAUACUCCAGGCAAUGGUUGACAGCAGUCUAGUGUCAUCACUGCAUAAUGUAAAGAUCUUGAAGCUCGUUGUCCAUGGUCUUAGGUUAAAUCAUGUCAUUGACGUGCUCCGAUGCUUUCCCUGCUUACAACAGCUUCACAUAAACACACUGACAAGCUAUGUUCCAAACAAGCAGAACGACAAUCCAGCUGCUACUACUGUUGAGUGUGUUGAUAGACAUUUAAAGCAAGUAAUAGUGAGAAAUUAUUCAGGCAAGAAACCCGAUUAUAAGUUCGCCAAGUUUUUCGUUUUGAAUGCAAGAGCACUAGAGUCAAUGAAGCUCCAUGUCCCUUUUAGCUGGAACAACGAAUGGCGCUCUAGACAACGUAUCAAGAUGGAUUUUAAGAACAGAGCUUCUCCAAAUGCUUUGAUUUGUUUUGAGGGCACCGAGUGA